GGCUGUGGCCUGGACUCGGCAUUCAAACACGACACACUGACCUCUGGUUGUAGAGAUGUCUUGAAGAUGCUGAAGAAUAAACACAGAAUUCACAGAAUGGAAGAAACUGUUUCACCAUAUACAAUGAUUUGGGGUGCCAAUUACAAACAGAAGAAGAACACCAUGGGGCAAAGGCCCAGAGACUGCAGUGACCGUAUGUUGUGGACAAAUAAAUGUCUAUUUUAAUUGGAAUGGAAGGGCCACCUUGGGAAGAUCAAGGGGAGUACGUGUUUGAGAUGGGUACUGUGUCAAGAAGGUAAG
Physeter macrocephalus (sperm whale) is the source of this 300-nucleotide long non-coding RNA. RefSeq lists it as uncharacterized. NCBI's taxonomy places the organism in Eukaryota, Metazoa, Chordata, Mammalia, Artiodactyla, Physeteridae. The transcript has 3 exons. The record is from RefSeq and is a predicted model, not a curated record.